ACGGCUCAGUAACACGUGGAUAACCUGCCCUUGGGUCUGGCAUAACCCCGGGAAACUGGGGAUAAUUCCGGAUAACGCAUAUGUGCUGGAAUGCUUUAUGCGUAAAAUGGAUUCGUCCGCCCAAGGAUGGGUCUGCGGCCUAUCAGGUAGUAGUGGGUGUAAUGUACCUACUAGCCGACAACGGGUACGGGUUGUGAGAGCAAGAGCCCGGAGAUGGAUUCUGAGACAUGAAUCCAGGCCCUACGGGGCGCAGCAGGCGCGAAAACUUUACAAUGCGGGAAACCGUGAUAAGGGGACACCGAGUGUCAGCAUCAUAUGCUGGCUGUCCAGGUGUGUAAAAUACACCUGUUAGCAAGGGCCGGGCAAGACCGGUGCCAGCCGCCGCGGUAACACCGGCGGCCCGAGUGGUGAUCGUGAUUAUUGGGUCUAAAGGGUCCGUAGCCGGUUUGGUCAGUCCUCCGGGAAAUCUGAUAGCUCAACUAUUAGGCUAUCGGGGGAUACUACCAGACUUGGAACCGGGAGAGGUAAGAGGUACUACAGGGGUAGGAGUGAAAUCUUGUAAUCCCUGUGGGACCACCUGUGGCGAAGGCGUCUUACCAGAACGGGUUCGACGGUGAGGGACGAAAGCUGGGGGCACGAACCGGAUUAGAUACCCGGGUAGUCCCAGCCGUAAACGAUGCUCGCUAGGUGUCAGGCAUGGCGCGACCGUGUCUGGUGCCGCAGGGAAGCCGUGAAGCGAGCCACCUGGGAAGUACGGCCGCAAGGCUGAAACUUAAAGGAAUUGGCGGGGGAGCACAAU
Molecule: ribosomal RNA, 799 nt
Filed under: uncultured archaeon
Lineage: Archaea
Description: bacterial SSU rRNA
Rfam family: Archaeal small subunit ribosomal RNA
Source: RNAcentral